GGAGGAGCCGAGAAGCGUUCUCGACGGCUUUUUGUAACUCGGCUUCGUCGGUUUUGUCCGAGUCGAUGCUGAGCAACACGUUCUUCCUCCUCACGAAAUGGAACUGUGGGGCUGAGUUAUGGAACCCCGUGACUCGUAAAAUGUCGCCGACUCGGUACCUGCAUAAUCCGGCAUAGGUCGUGAUUACGAGCUCGUAUUCUUUCCCGAUUUCCACGUCAACAAGGUCAACGAGUUUAGGAGGUGAGUCACGAGUGAACCCAGCUGAGUUAGGAUCAUGAGGUAAGAACUC
Molecule: long non-coding RNA, 289 nt
Filed under: Gossypium barbadense (sea-island cotton)
Lineage: Eukaryota; Viridiplantae; Streptophyta; Magnoliopsida; Malvales; Malvaceae
Description: long non-coding RNA (GBAR_LNC022987)
Source: RNAcentral